RNAcentral lists this ribosomal RNA (347 nucleotides) under Lingulaulax polyedra. Its description in RNAcentral is "Lingulodinium polyedra partial Bacterial small subunit ribosomal RNA". It matches the Rfam family "Bacterial small subunit ribosomal RNA", at positions 358 to 717 of the family's 1533-position model. The record is from RNAcentral. Lineage: Eukaryota; Dinophyceae; Gonyaulacales; Lingulodiniaceae.
GGAAUAUUGCACAAUGGGCGGAAGCCUGAUGCAGCAACGCCGCGUGCGGGAUGACGGCCUUCGGGUUGUAAACCGCUUUCGCCUGUGACGAAGCGUGAGUGACGGUAAUGGGUAAAGAAGCACCGGCUAACUACGUGCCAGCAGCCGCGGUGAUACGUAGGGUGCGAGCGUUGUCCGGAUUUAUUGGGCGUAAAGGGCUCGUAGGUGGUUGAUCGCGUCGGAAGUGUAAUCUUGGGGCUUAACCCUGAGCGUGCUUUCGAUACGGGUUGACUUGAGGAAGGUAGGGGAGAAUGGAAUUCCUGGUGGAGCGGUGGAAUGCGCAGAUAUCAGGAGGAACACCAGUGGCG